Molecule: long non-coding RNA, 218 nt
Organism: Thalassophryne amazonica
Lineage: Eukaryota; Metazoa; Chordata; Actinopteri; Batrachoidiformes; Batrachoididae
Exons: 3
Source: RefSeq, a predicted model, not a curated record
GUAGCUCUUAUGACAUUUGGAAACUAUGUGCUCUUCAACUUAUUGGUGGCCAUCUUGGUUGAGGGUUUCAAGCUGAGGGUGAUGCUAAUCGGUCGGAGUCGGAUGAUGAGAAGAAAUCAGACAACUUUGAGGAGGAUGAGAAGGUAGAGCAGCUCAGAGACACCGAGUUAAAAAUGUAUUCUCUGAUGAUGACAGCCAAUGGUCAUGUGGACCCUCGU